UACGUAGGGACCGAGCGUUGUCCGGAAUUACUGGGCGUAAAGCGCACGUAGGCGGCUUUGUAAGUUAGAGGUGAAAGCCCGGGGCUCAACCCCGGAAUUGCCUUUAAGACUGCAUCGCUUGAAUCCGGGAGAGGUGAGUGGAAUUCCGAGUGUAGAGGUGAAAUUCGUAGAUAUUCGGAAGAACACCAGUGGCGAAGGCGGCUCACUGGACCGGUAUUGACGCUGAGGUGCGAAAGCGUGGGGAGCAAACAGG
This 253-nucleotide ribosomal RNA is filed under the name uncultured bacterium. Its description in RNAcentral is "partial 16S ribosomal RNA". It matches the Rfam family "Bacterial small subunit ribosomal RNA", at positions 524 to 776 of the family's 1533-position model. The record is from RNAcentral.